This 253-nucleotide ribosomal RNA is filed under the name uncultured bacterium. RNAcentral's name for it is "partial 16S ribosomal RNA". It matches the Rfam family "Bacterial small subunit ribosomal RNA", at positions 524 to 776 of the family's 1533-position model. The record is from RNAcentral.
UACGUAGGGGGCAAGCGUUGUCCGGAAUCAUUGGGCGUAAAGAGCGUGUAGGCGGCCCGAUAAGUCCGCUGUGAAAGUCCAGGGCUCAACCCUGGGAUGCCGGUGGAUACUGUCGGGCUCGAGUCCGGAAGAGGAGUGUGGAAUUCCUGGUGUAGAGGUGAAAUGCGCAGAUAUCAGGAGGAACACCAAUGGCGAAGGCAGCACUCUGGGACGUGACUGACGCUGAGACGCGAAAGCGUGGGGAGCGAACAGG